Molecule: long non-coding RNA, 742 nt
Organism: Heterocephalus glaber (naked mole-rat)
Lineage: Eukaryota; Metazoa; Chordata; Mammalia; Rodentia; Bathyergidae
Source: Ensembl
CAAGGCUGCAGGUGAAAUUAAAGUUUCUCAUUAAGUUGACCUUAAAGUAGGGAUAUUAUUCUGGAUUACUCUAAUAGGUCCAGUGUAAGCAGAAGUGUUCUUAAACGGAGGUAGAAAAGAAAGUUGGAGUAAUGUGAUAUAAGAAGGAAUCAACCCACCAUCACUGUCUUUGAAGACAAGAAGAAGGAGCCAUGAGCCAAGAGAAUGCAAAAGCCUGUACAAGAUGGAAAAGAGUUUUGACAACAGAUGUAGCUGGAGACUGAAGCACUUUACAAGACAGCCUCACUCUUCCAUCACCUGGAUCAAGUCCAAAGUAUUUCACCUGAAUUUCUUGGCCAACUUCUAAUCCUAGAGCAGUGGGAUGUUUAUUCUUUCAUUGAUCAAGUUGUGUGUUAUGAAGUAGUACUGCAGUCAUAUUUGGAUUUCAGUGAUGAAUUCUCUUGCCUCAUGCAUUGCACUGAUUGUUGGUGCAAAAGCAGAAUAUGUUUCUUCAUCCACUUGAUUAACAGUUACACCUGUUUCAGCUUGAAGCCUUUUUAAAUGAAAUUCACCUGGUCCAACAAAUUUUGCUCAUUUUGAUAAUGGAACCUCAACAAUUUCUACAACAGGUCCAUUUUCUUUUCUAGAUGCUCAAGGUUUUGAAAUUGUUUUGUUCAUAAUCUGUAAUAUUUCUGUCUUUGCCACUGAUGCUUGCUGAAUAGCCUCCAUUACAAUUUUUAUUGGUAUUCCUGGUAAUUUAAUA